UUCAGACUGCAGGCUGCAACUCGCCUGCACGAAGUCGGAAUUGCUAGUAAUCGCGGAUCAGCAAGCCGCGGUGAAUACGUUCCCGGGCCUUGUACACACCGCCCGUCACACCAUGAGAGUCGGGAACACCCGAAGUCCGUGUCUAACCGCAAGGGGGGCGCGGCCGAAGGUGGGUCCGGUAAUUGGGGUGAAGUCGUAACAAGGUAAC
RNAcentral lists this ribosomal RNA (208 nucleotides) under uncultured bacterium. RNAcentral's name for it is "partial 16S ribosomal RNA". It matches the Rfam family "Bacterial small subunit ribosomal RNA", at positions 1292 to 1500 of the family's 1533-position model. The record is from RNAcentral.